GAUGAACGCUGGCGGCGUGCCUAAUACAUGCAAGUCGAGCGAACGGACGAGAAGCUUGCUUCUCUGAUGUUAGCGGCGGACGGGUGAGUAACACGUGGAUAACCUACCUAUAAGACUGGGAUAACUUCGGGAAACCGGAGCUAAUACCGGAUAAUAUUUUGAACCGCAUGGUUCAAAAGUGAAAGACGGUCUUGCUGCCACUUAUAGAUGGAUCCGCGCUGCAUUAGCUAGUUGGUAAGGUAACGGCUUACCAAGGCAACGAUGCAUAGCCGACCUGAGAGGGUGAUCGGCCACACUGGAACUGAGACACGGUCCAGACUCCUACGGGAGGCAGCAGUAGGGAAUCUUCCGCAAUGGGCGAAAGCCUGACGGAGCAACGCCGCGUGAGUGAUGAAGGUCUUCGGAUCGUAAAACUCUGUUAUUAGGGAAGAACAUAUGUGUAAGUAACUGUGCACAUCUUGACGGUACCUAAUCAGAAAGCCACGGCUAACUACGUGCCAGCAGCCGCGGUAAUACGUAGGUGGCAAGCGUUAUCCGGAAUUAUUGGGCGUAAAGCGCGCGUAGGCGGUUUUUUAAGUCUGAUGUGAAAGCCCACGGCUCAACCGUGGAGGGUCAUUGGAAACUGGAAAACUUGAGUGCAGAAGAGGAAAGUGGAAUUCCAUGUGUAGCGGUGAAAUGCGCAGAGAUAUGGAGGAACACCAGUGGCGAAGGCGACUUUCUGGUCUGUAACUGACGCUGAUGUGCGAAAGCGUGGGGAUCAAACAGGAUUAGAUACCCUGGUAGUCCACGCCGUAAACGAUGAGUGCUAAGUGUUAGGGGGUUUCCGCCCCUUAGUGCUGCAGCUAACGCAUUAAGCACUCCGCCUGGGGAGUACGACCGCAAGGUUGAAACUCAAAGGAAUUGACGGGGACCCGCACAAGCGGUGGAGCAUGUGGUUUAAUUCGAAGCAACGCGAAGAACCUUACCAAAUCUUGACAUCCUUUGACAACUCUAGAGAUAGAGCCUUCCCCUUCGGGGGACAAAGUGACAGGUGGUGCAUGGUUGUCGUCAGCUCGUGUCGUGAGAUGUUGGGUCAAGUCCCGCAACGAGCGCAACCCUUAAGCUUAGUUGCCAUCAUUAAGUUGGGCACUCUAAGUUGACUGCCGGUGACAAACCGGAGGAAGGUGGGGAUGACGUCAAAUCAUCAUGCCCCUUAUGAUUUGGGCUACACACGUGCUACAAUGGACAAUACAAAGGGCAGCGAAACCGCGAGGUCAAGCAAAUCCCAUAAAGUUGUUCUCAGUUCGGAUUGUAGUCUGCAACUCGACUACAUGAAGCUGGAAUCGCUAGUAAUCGUAGAUCAGCAUGCUACGGUGAAUACGUUCCCGGGUCU
RNAcentral lists this ribosomal RNA (1372 nucleotides) under uncultured bacterium. RNAcentral's name for it is "bacterial SSU rRNA". It matches the Rfam family "Bacterial small subunit ribosomal RNA", at positions 28 to 1381 of the family's 1533-position model. The record is from RNAcentral.